This 257-nucleotide ribosomal RNA is filed under the name uncultured bacterium. RNAcentral describes it as "partial 16S ribosomal RNA". It matches the Rfam family "Bacterial small subunit ribosomal RNA", at positions 337 to 586 of the family's 1533-position model. The record is from RNAcentral.
UCCUACGGGGGGCAGCAGUAGGGAAUCUUCCACAAUGGGCGCAAGCCUGAUGGAGCAACACCGCGUGAGUGAAGAAGGGUUUCGGCUCGUAAAGCUCUGUUGUUGGAGAAGAACGGGCGUGAGAGUAACUGUUCGCGCAGUGACGGUAUCCAAACAGGAAGUCACGGCUAAAUACGUGCCAGCAGCCGCGGGAAUACGUAGGUGGCAAGCGUUAUCCGGAUUUAUUUGGCGUAAAACGAGCGCAGGCGGUUGCUUUG